GCGGGGGGGGGCUAUCUUGCAAUGUCGAGCGGUAGCACGGAGAGGUUGCUCUCGGGUGACGAGCGGCGGACGGGUGAGUAAUGUCUGGGAAACUGCCUGAUGGAGGGGGAUAACUACUGGAAACGGUAGCUAAUACCGCAUAAUGUCGCAAGACCAAAGUGGGGGACCUUCGGGCCUCAUGCCAUCAGAUGUGCCCAGAUGGGAUUAGCUAGUAGGUGGGGUAACGGCUCACCUAGGCGACGAUCCCUAGCUGGUCUGAGAGGAUGACCAGCCACACUGGAACUGAGACACGGUCCAGACUCCUACGGGAGGCAGCAGUGGGGAAUAUUGCACAAUGGGCGCAAGCCUGAUGCAGCCAUGCCGCGUGUGUGAAGAAGGCCUUCGGGUUGUAAAGCACUUUCAGCGGGGAGGAAGGCGAUAAGGUUAAUAACCUUGUCGAUUGACGUUACCCGCAGAAGAAGCACCGGCUAACUCCGUGCCAGCAGCCGCGGUAAUACGGAGGGUGCAAGCGUUAAUCGGAAUUACUGGGCGUAAAGCGCACGCAGGCGGUCUGUCAAGUCGGAUGUGAAAUCCCCGGGCUCAACCUGGGAACUGCAUUCGAAACUGGCAGGCUAGAGUCUUGUAGAGGGGGGUAGAAUUCCAGGUGUAGCGGUGAAAUGCGUAGAGAUCUGGAGGAAUACCGGUGGCGAAGGCGGCCCCCUGGACAAAGACUGACGCUCAGUGCGAAAGCGUGGGGAGCAAACAGGAUUAGAAACCCU
RNAcentral lists this ribosomal RNA (758 nucleotides) under Klebsiella pneumoniae. RNAcentral's name for it is "bacterial SSU rRNA". It matches the Rfam family "Bacterial small subunit ribosomal RNA", at positions 39 to 788 of the family's 1533-position model. Lineage: Bacteria; Pseudomonadati; Pseudomonadota; Gammaproteobacteria; Enterobacterales; Enterobacteriaceae. The record is from RNAcentral.